RNAcentral lists this ribosomal RNA (395 nucleotides) under Torneuma orbatum. RNAcentral describes it as "eukaryotic LSU rRNA". It matches the Rfam family "Eukaryotic large subunit ribosomal RNA", at positions 1340 to 1663 of the family's 3401-position model. Lineage: Eukaryota; Metazoa; Arthropoda; Insecta; Coleoptera; Curculionidae. The record is from RNAcentral.
GCUUAUACUCGACCGUCAGCGGCACGUGCGAUCGACGUGUGUAUUUAAAACACACACGCGGUCACUAAGCCCUGACGAGUAGGAGGGUCGCGGCGGUGAGCGCAGAAGGGCUGGCCGCGAGGCCGUCUGGAGCCGCCGUCGGUGCAGAUCUUGGUGGUAGUAGCAAAUACUCCAGCGAGGCCCUGGAGGACUGACGUGGAGAAGGGUUUCGUGUGAACAGCCGUUGCACACGAGUCAGUCGAUCCUAAGCCCUAGGCGAAAGCCGAUGUCGAUGCGGUGUAGAUUUACGUAGCAUUACAAAAAGCGGUAAACGUAUAUAAGCACACACCCGUCGGGCGAAAGGGAAUCCGGUUCCUAUUCCGGAACCUGGCAGCGGAACCGUCAAAAAGUCGGGC